AGAAUGAACGCUGGCGGCAUGCCUAACACAUGCAAGUCGAACGAAGCCUUCGGGUUUAGUGGCGCACGGGUGCGUAACGCGUGGGAAUCUACCCCUUGGUUCGGAAUAACAGUUGGAAACGACUGCUAAUACCGGAUGAUGACGUAAGUCCAAAGAUUUAUCGCCGAGGGAUGAGCCCGCGUAGGAUUAGGUAGUUGGUGUGGUAAAGGCGCACCAAGCCGACGAUCCUUAGCUGGUCUGAGAGGAUGAUCAGCCACACUGGGACUGAGACACGGCCCAGACUCCUACGGGAGGCAGCAGUGGGGAAUAUUGGACAAUGGGCGCAAGCCUGAUCCAGCCAUGCCGCGUGAGUGAUGAAAGGCCCUAGGGUUGUAAAGCUCUUUCAACGGUGAAGAUAAUGACGGUAACCGUAGAAGAAGCCCGGCUAACUUCGUGCCAGCAGCCGC
Molecule: ribosomal RNA, 446 nt
Filed under: uncultured bacterium
Lineage: Bacteria
Description: SSU rRNA
Rfam family: Bacterial small subunit ribosomal RNA
Source: RNAcentral